RNAcentral lists this long non-coding RNA (775 nucleotides) under Anas platyrhynchos platyrhynchos (common mallard). RNAcentral describes it as "lncRNA (ENSAPLG00000027252.1)". Lineage: Eukaryota; Metazoa; Chordata; Aves; Anseriformes; Anatidae. The record is from RNAcentral.
AUAUUUUCAAGCUUGUUUUCAAUAUCCUAAGAACUCCAGAAAUUAUUUUACAACAAAUAAUUAAAAAAUAAAAAGCAGAGCCCCUUAUGUAAUUCCAAAACUUGAGCAUUUAUCAAAUACUGGGAAACUUGAAACAAAACACCCCAGUCUGACACCUUUGCCCCGUUACACUGGUUCUCAGAAUGAUUCUCUUCAGCACAAUCUAUCCGUAUUGAUAAACUGUAUUUUUAUACAGUUUAUGUCAAUUUGAUUUUUAAUUGUAUUUUUAUUGUAUUUUGCACAGUUUUAUAUCAAUUUAUUGAUUUUUUGUUAUUGUAAUUGAUGUGUUCAAUUGAUAUGUUGUUUGUUUGUUUUUAAAGGAAAAUAAAAUAUUUUACAUGUCGCUCCUUGUACUACAGAUAAAUAAAAUAAAACACUGUGUUUUCUCUGAAGCAGUUCACCAUUGACAAAUUUGAGCGGUUGUUUCUGCGUUUAUGCAGUCGAAGAGCACUGGAAGCCUUGAAGGCAUUAUGUCAUACUACUUGCAUCACAUCGUCUAGGAGGCAACAUCUGCUGACAUGUCAGCAAGAACAUUGAAUAAUUCCAGACAAUUAAAGAGAAGUGAAAUAAAAAAAAUCCGGUGCGAUCAGUGCCUUCAAGAAAACCUAUGGCUUUCCAAGAGAGGCUUGCAAUUCCUGAGAACAAACAUACAUGAUCACAGAAAAUCAUGUGGAUAGCUUUCACGUAGAUGUUGAGGGUAUUGGUCCAUAAUAAAACAUAAAAAGAAAAAGUUGCA